This is a long non-coding RNA of Corticium candelabrum, 771 nucleotides long. RefSeq lists it as uncharacterized. The record is from RefSeq and is a predicted model, not a curated record. NCBI's taxonomy places the organism in Eukaryota, Metazoa, Porifera, Homoscleromorpha, Homosclerophorida, Plakinidae. The transcript has 3 exons.
ACAACUAAGUGGCGCGGCCUUGCAUCGUUGAAACGGACGUGAAAACGGCUCAUUACGACCCGAUGAGCAAAAGCUGCACAAACGAUGAGACGCCCAGAGAAGUUGCACAAAGAAGUAGAUGUCUAUAGAGCGAAGGUUGUAAGAUUGUGGUUGUUCCAUCAAUAUUGUCAUCUUCUGAAAGCUCAAAACAUUGCGAAAGCUGCUUUUCGUAUUUGCUCUAGACUUUGGCUGUGCGUGGCGGUUGGUGUUGUUUCAGCUAUAAAAUCAAUGUCUUUGUGUGUUAGAGCUACAAUGAGUCGUUCUGUUUGUUGUGAGCUGGAAAAUCGGUGAAUGCAUAAUAUUGAUGAUGAGUGAGGCAGGUGCAAGUUCGUUUACGGCUCCUGCAAAGAAAAAGUUAAGGUUCGAUGUAGCGUCGAGGUGAGGGCUAGGAUUAGAGUGAGGGUUAGGGUUAGAAUGAGAGUCAGGGUUACAGUUCGUUGCCCCUGCUUAUUGUGAGACAGCGGGCCAAGCUGAUUCCAACAGAAAGCGUAACGACAGCCAGUGGUGCAGUCGUUGUGUAAACGUAAGCCUAGUGAAUGCAAGAUGAACAACUACAAGCCUCAUGUAAUGCUAGCUUGGCAAGCUAGCAUGGAUAUUCAGUAUGUUGUAAAUGCUUAUGCUUGUGUUAUGUAUGUGGCUUGUUACAUAAGGAAAACUGAUGAUGGUAUGGGAGAGCUGCUUAGGUGUGUUGAGGAUUCUGUUAUAGCGCGACUAAUUACCUUCAAGGUGCAU